RNAcentral lists this ribosomal RNA (533 nucleotides) under uncultured bacterium. RNAcentral describes it as "bacterial SSU rRNA". It matches the Rfam family "Bacterial small subunit ribosomal RNA", at positions 28 to 512 of the family's 1533-position model. The record is from RNAcentral.
GACGAACGCUGGCGGCGUGCCUAACACAUGCAAGUCGAGCGGGGUUGAAGCGAGGGGUAACUCGAGUUUCUACCUAGCGGCGGACGGGUGAGUAACGCGUGGGCAACCUGCCUCAAGGACUGGGAUAACAGCUCGAAAGGGCUGCUAAUACCGGAUAAGCCUAUGGCCUCGCAUGGGGCCAUGAGCAAAGGGGAAACCCGCCUUGAGAUGGGCCCGCGUCCCAUCAGCUAGUUGGUGAGGUGAAGGCUCACCAAGGCGACGACGGGUAGCCGGCCUGAGAGGGUGACCGGCCACACUGGGACUGAGACACGGCCCAGACUCCUACGGGGGGCAGCAGUGGGGAAUCUUGCACAAUGGGCGAAAGCCUGAUGCAGCGACGCCGCGUGAGCGAAGAAGGCCUCGGUUGUAAGACUCUGUCUGGUAGGACGGAAGGAAGUAGGACGGUACCGUCCGUACGGGAACGACCGACGGCCGUAACUAACGUACGCCGACGCGACGACCGCCGGUAACGUACGUACUAACUCCGUACUACG